UUCAACAGAUGGAGCCUGAAGUGAGUUGU
This 29-nucleotide non-coding RNA is filed under the name Mus musculus (house mouse). Lineage: Eukaryota; Metazoa; Chordata; Mammalia; Rodentia; Muridae. The record is from RNAcentral.